AGAGUUUGAUCCUGGCUCAGGAUGAACGCUGGCGGCGUGCCUAACACAUGCAAGUCGAACGGAUCAAUACUGAAACCUAGUGAUGUAUGGAUUAGUGGCGGACGGGUGAGUAACGCGUGGAUAACCUGCCGUAUACAGGGGGAUAACACUUAGAAAUAGGUGCUAAUACCGCAUAAGCGCACGGUUCCGCAUGGAACAGUGUGAAAAACUCCGGUGGUAUACGAUGGAUCCGCGUCUGAUUAGCCAGUUGGCGGGGUAACGGCCCACCAAAGCGACGAUCAGUAGCCGGCCUGAGAGGGUGAACGGCCACAUUGGGACUGAGACACGGCCCAAACUCCUACGGGAGGCAGCAGUGGGGAAUAUUGCACAAUGGGGGAAACCCUGAUGCAGCGACGCCGCGUGAGUGAAGAAGUAUUUCGGUACGUAAAGCUCUAUCAGCAGGGAAGAAAAAAAGUCCUUUGGACUUUGGACGGUACCUGACCAAGAAGCCCCGGCUAACUACGUGCCAGCAGCCGCGGUAAUACGUAGGGGGCAAGCGUUAUCCGGAUUUACUGGGUGUAAAGGGAGCGUAGACGGCAGCGCAAGUCUGGAGUGAAAUGCCGGGGCUCAACCCCGGAACUGCUUUGGAAACUGUGCAGCUCGAGUGCAGGAGAGGUAAGCGGAAUUCCUAGUGUAGCGGUGAAAUGCGUAGAUAUUAGGAGGAACACCAGUGGCGAAGGCGGCUUACUGGACUGUAACUGACGUUGAGGCUCGAAAGCGUGGGGAGCAAACAGGAUUAGAUACCCUGGUAGUACACGCCGUAAACGA
This 807-nucleotide ribosomal RNA is filed under the name uncultured bacterium. RNAcentral's name for it is "bacterial SSU rRNA". It matches the Rfam family "Bacterial small subunit ribosomal RNA", at positions 8 to 809 of the family's 1533-position model. The record is from RNAcentral.